CUGGUCGCGCAUUGAAAGUAGCUCGUCUUGUUGUUCACCUUCCUAAUUUCCGGAUUUCCCUAUGGUCUCCGCGGUAAACGUCACAACGCUUUGAACUGUGGGUAAUUCUCUUAGGUAAAGUCUGCACUGAUGCAGACUCACGGUAAGUGUGGACUCAAACCCUCAUGCCCUUUGGAUUCGACAUUGGGACAGCCUUAAAGCCUUAAUAAUUUCGCGAGAACGCGUAUGAAAGUCCGGACAUUUGGAUUGGGCGCAUCUCUCUCCCGAGUCAUACCUAGCCUGAAACGACGAUGCCACAAAGGAUCAAAUUCGUUUUUCAUCAACUCCAAAGAACUUUACGGAGGGGAAGACUGAACAGCAAUGACAGAAAUUUGUGAAACUCGGCCCACAUUUGUUGCUCAGUGUAUGAUCCGACAACGCUCCAACGCAGCCCCAGCCGGCAGGUCUUUGAUGGUCUCAGACGGAAUCCAACUCAAACUGUGAUCCGAUCAGCCAGAAGGCCCACCUCCCACGGUGGUGGUGAUCCCGUUGUCAUUUCCGAGGGAUGCCGGACUGUUCAAUAUGGAAAGCUGGAGUGAGAGGCGUGCUUGGGAGAAUUUAAAGCGCUUUCCCGCGACUCGCCUCCGAUCCUGCCUGUUCUCUGAUCCCUGCCUUUCUGACCAUCCUGCCUGCCGCCCAGCCCCUGUCGGCCUGUCUGCUCCUCUGCCCCCGACUCCUGAUCCUCCAGCCUGCCUCCCCUGCUUUCGACCCUUCGCCUGCCUGACCUCCCGAUCACCGUAGAGUUAUUGUUGGUCUGUCUGUUCACCUGUUCCCUACUGCCCAUCUGCCCUCCCGUUGCCGACCUCUGCCUGCUGACUACUCUUUGCCUGCCGAUCCUGUAUCUGAAUAAACUCUUGAAACCGUUCUACGCUCGUCGUCAGUCUGUGCACUUGGGUUCUGCCAAACGCCCACGUUACACACAGUUUACAUGGCUGAAGUGGGUCUGCUCUGGGUCAAUAGGGCUCUGAGAUUCAGGAGA
This 1018-nucleotide long non-coding RNA is filed under the name Gadus morhua (Atlantic cod). RNAcentral describes it as "lncRNA (ENSGMOG00000022774.1)". The record is from RNAcentral. Lineage: Eukaryota; Metazoa; Chordata; Actinopteri; Gadiformes; Gadidae.